GACGAACGCUGGCGGCGUGCCUAAUACAUGCAAGUAGAACGCUGAAGGAGGAGCUUGCUUCUCUGGAUGAGUUGCGAACGGGUGAGUAACGCGUAGGUAACCUGCCUGGUAGCGGGGGAUAACUAUUGGAAACGAUAGCUAAUACCGCAUAACAGUAGAUAUCGCAUGAUAUCUACUUGAAAGGUGCAAUUGCAUCACUACCAGAUGGACCUGCGUUGUAUUAGCUAGUUGGUGAGGUAACGGCUCACCAAGGCGACGAUACAUAGCCGACCUGAGAGGGUGAUCGGCCACACUGGGACUGAGACACGGCCCAGACUCCUACGGGAGGCAGCAGUAGGGAAUCUUCGGCAAGGGACGGAAGUCUGACCGAGCAACGCCGCGGGAGUGAAGAAGGGUUUCGGAUCGUAAAGCUCUGUUGUAAGAGAAGAACGAGUGUGAGAGUGGAAAGUUCACACUGUGACGGUAUCUUACCAGAAAGGGACGGCUAACUACGUG
This 495-nucleotide ribosomal RNA is filed under the name uncultured bacterium. Its description in RNAcentral is "partial 16S ribosomal RNA". It matches the Rfam family "Bacterial small subunit ribosomal RNA", at positions 28 to 507 of the family's 1533-position model. The record is from RNAcentral.